This is a long non-coding RNA of Oreochromis niloticus (Nile tilapia), 416 nucleotides long. RefSeq lists it as uncharacterized. Lineage: Eukaryota; Metazoa; Chordata; Actinopteri; Cichliformes; Cichlidae. The record is from RefSeq and is a predicted model, not a curated record. The transcript has 3 exons.
AUAUGAAAUUAGUUAUAAUUCGGCUUAAAACUACGUAAUUUUAGAAACAGGUGCAAAGUGCACAAAUAUUGAAGCAUAUUUAUGGAAAUACGGAAAAUAUGGGAAAUGCAGCCAUGCAAACGUCCAAGUGCAAUAGGAGCCGGUGGCAGGAGGAAAGGCAGGUGAGACGGUGAAACUCCAGAGAAGCGUGAUGCCAAACAGGGGACUGAGGAAACUGGUGUGCACUUAGCGCUGGAGUACCUGUGACUGAGCUGGAGGCAGGGCGGGCGUGCAGGGCGAUAUCAGGCUGAGAUGGGCUGUGGUUGUGAAGAACAGGCAUCUGCUGGGCUUUGGAUAUUCCAUGCUGGCCGCCUUCAGGCUGGCUGGAGGUAGCCAGUAGGGGCUGCUGGGAAGGGGCUGAAGCAGGGGGCAGAUGA